UUUUUUAUCAAUAUGAACUCUCCAAAAAAAUUACGCUGUUAUCCCUACGGUAACUUAUUCUUUUGUUCACCUUUACUAGUGGAUCACUUUAUGAAUAAAACCUUAUAUUAUAAAAAAAUUUUUUUUCUAAUAAACUAACGGAGGAUCUUUAUUCUCCACGGUUGCCCCAACCUAAGUACUAAAUGCAUACUACCCCUAUUUUUUAGUAAAAUUACACUAACUAUUUUUAAUUAUUUAUUAGCAAUAAAAUAGCGUUAACAGAUUGCACCUUAUUUUACUAAAGCUCGAUAGGGUCUUCUCGUCCUACGACUAUAUUUCCGCUUCUUCACGAAAAUAUUAACUUCAGGAUUAUAAGAAAGAGACAGCUUAACUCCCGUCUUGCCAUUCAUACCAGCCCCCAUUUAAAAGGCAAAUGAUUAUGCUACCUUUGCACGGUCAAGAUACCGCGGCCGUUUAACUAAGUCACCGGGCAGGCAGGACUCUUUAUAUAUUAGACUCUUUACAAAGAGCGAUGUUUUUGGUAAACAGGCGAAGUUUUGAUUUGCCGAAUUCCUUUUCCUUAUUUUAUUAUUUAAUAUAUUACUUGUGUUAGUAGACAACCUAAAUAAACUAACUUCUCGAUUAUAAACUAUUACUCCAUCCAACAGUUAGGAUUGAUUAAUUCACAAAAAAUAUAAUUUUCCCUACUAAUUUCAACAUUAUGUCUUUCAAACUUAUGAAAUCUCCCUAUAAAUUUUUACAAUUUGGGGUUACUCUUUAUAAA
This 763-nucleotide ribosomal RNA is filed under the name Meridiastra oriens. RNAcentral describes it as "partial 16S ribosomal RNA". Lineage: Eukaryota; Metazoa; Echinodermata; Asteroidea; Valvatida; Asterinidae. The record is from RNAcentral.